This is a long non-coding RNA of Dermochelys coriacea (leatherback sea turtle), 3458 nucleotides long. RefSeq lists it as uncharacterized. The record is from RefSeq and is a predicted model, not a curated record. Lineage: Eukaryota; Metazoa; Chordata; Testudines; Dermochelyidae. The transcript is spliced from 2 exons.
ACAUGUCUCACUUCCAAGGGGAGCACACUCCCCACUCAUCUGACCUUAUUUGCAGCUAUAGUGCAAGUCUGAUUAAAAUGUAACUGGCUGAACACCUUGUGCACGCUAGUAAUUGUCAUAGAUGUCCAUAGUGAAACAAACGCAACUGGAAUGGGCCUUUCCCUGCACAUUCUUAGCGGUUUGCCACAAGGGGUCACUCCAUUGUGGCAGAGCAAAAAGAAUUGGUAGCGUGCCCAACCAACCAGGCUUGUCUGAAUCCCUCUUUCUUCUCGGCCUCCUUGGAUGUUGGAGAAACCCUUUUGGCAGCCCCAUAAUCCAGGCUGGCUCUUGAGAUGGAACCCCUUGUUCCUUAGCAUGUCCGACAGUGGUCGGGAACACAGCUCAGGACUGAACCUUUCUUCCACCUUUGUUAAUGCAAUGAUCCUAAAAUGCUGGGGGUGGACUUUGCAGUCUAGUGAGAUGGAUGAUAUGCUAGCCCCCCACCUCUGGAGACAAGAAUUCACCUUCUGAUUUGCUCACAAAUAAAGUAGGCCUUCUUUCCCUGGGUAUCUGUCCUCCGUGUAGUCUGAGAAUUGAGGUGCAUGGCUAGAACUGCGCAAAGAGAGCCAGCUAAAACUCCUACUGCUGUAUACCUGGCUCCAAUCAUGGUUGUUUCCCCCCUGCUCUCCUGAGCACCAAACUUGCGUACCCUUUUAAUGGAUUUGUGUUAACAUGAGUAGGUGUUUCCGAUUGAAGCCCACAGUCUAUUCUGCUCAUCACCAGAUGGCUUGCACUGUGGAACUUGGUGUGUCCAGGGGAUUUUGCCAAUGGGAGAUAUGUGGCCUGAUGCUCUAGUUUACGACUUGUUUUAACUCCUGCAUUCUGGUGGCUCUUUGUACUAGUACUGGCUGGACAGGGAGGACACUUCCAGCUACUAAAACAAUGAGGAAUCCAGUGGCACCUUAAAGACUAACAGAUUUAUUUGGGCAUAAACUUUUGUGGGUAAAAAAAUCACUUCUUCAGUUACUGGCAGUGGAGUAUUGUUUCCCUUGCCCAUUGAUGAGCUGUGGUUUUGAAAAUUGUGUUCACCUUCACAGCCCCAAAGCCACAACCAGUAGCCCACCCUGAAAUCUAGAGGAGACUUGAGGAAGUGCUGGGGAGUAUGGAGACAAGGUUCUUUCAGCCUGGCCUUGCUCUGCACCUGCUCCUGGCACAGGUGAAUUCGAUCUGGCUCUUGAAGCUCAGGGAAGCCCAGCAUUGGAUCCAGGAUAAAGUAAAGGAGUGGCGGCAGAAGGGAGGAUGUUGGGCCCAGGAAUGCUUGGAAUGCAGUUGUCCUGGGGUGUGGCUAUCCAAACAGACUGAAUUUUGUUUCAUGUUAAUAACCAGGAUUCUCAUUGACCAUCUCAGCAGGCUGUCCCUGGCCCAUUAGCUCUCUAGCCUUGUAGAUCACCCUAGCAGCAGCUGAAUGCUCUGUUUCAUCCCUCUCCUCUCCAGCUUUGGCUUUUAAAAACAGAGAUUAGUCCUGGAAUUGGGUGAUCAAAUGGAGGUUUCCCAGUCUCUGUGGCUGUUGCUGCUGGUGACGAUUGGAUUGUAUCCUGGAGACCUAGGCGAUAAUGCAAUCUGAUUUUGUAAAUGAACUCCCUGGGAGAUUUAGAUUAAAUCACUGAUGGAAAGUCACUGGUCUCUGCUUGUUGGGAAUGCAGUACCCCUCCCCCACCCCAACCGAGUAUCACAGUGUGCUUCCUUUUUGUCUGAGCACAAAUUCAUUGUUUGAAACAAAUAUUUGUUCAGCAGAUUGCAUGAGGGCAGGAUUCCUCUGUGUCUGACACACCCACUGGCUCCUGCUCUUAAGAUGGCUAUUAGCCGGGUUUUUUUUGUUUUUGUUUUUUGUUUGCCAGACAGAGAAGCAGCUUUGCUCUGUCCUGGUAUCUCUGAUUGUGAUUCUGGCUGGCUUGUAUUGUUUAUUGCAAGCUGGCCGAACUGUGUGACACAGCCAUUGGUGCAGGGAGGCAGUGCAGAUGCCCAUGAUGCCCAAAGAGAAGGUCUGGGCUGUUUCUGUAGGUUCUUCUACACUGCCAGCUGUAGAAAAGAUGUGGGGUGUGGCUCCAUUACAGGGGCUUCGAACCAGACACAAGACUGGAGCUUUGAUAGCUUUAGUGGUGGUGCUUUUGGCCUUGUUAGCACUAGGCCUUCCCCCCCAUCCCAGAUUUCCCAGUCUUGUUCUCUUUGUUCAGCUCUGCUGCUGCUAACAAUGGUGCUAAUGUUAAUAUUGCAUCACAACUGUUUGUAAAAGUUCAGCCAUCCUAAUAGGGGUGGAGGGUUAUGGUUAUCUUCUGUUUCACCUUCCCCUGCUUCUAGAUGCAGAGAGAAACCAUUGGCCUCUUCUGAGCUAGUUCUGCCAUGAGCCUUUAACCAGUGAGUGCUCCUCCUGGCCCAGUGAUGGAGUAAUCUCUCUGUCACUGUCCUGUUUGCACAGGGUUACUGCUCACCUACAGUGUAUAUGGUGCAUGCUGAGCAGCUGUUGCCUGGUGUAUUCACAAAAAGGUGCCAUAGCCAAAUCUCAAACAGAGGAAUGCAAGUUCUGACUGGCCUGCUAGUGAGAUCUGGUCAGAAAGUAAAGGCUGGCAUUGAAGGUUCUGGCAACAUCUGUGCAAUUCCAUGAAUAAGUGGGAACUGGAGAAUAUACUGCUGUUUGCUGAUGCUGACUGUCCUGUCUCUUGGCUGGAGCAUUGAGCUUUGUCCCAUUGGAGUAAAGCAGACAGUUCCCUAAAGUACUGAUUUCCUGGAUGCUUAACGUGUAAACACACCAAGGAGGCAAAGAAAUUGAGGAUGGCUCAGGGGAGUAUAAUGAGAAGUAAUGGAUGAAGAUUCAACAAAGGAAAGGUUAGGGUUCAGAUUUCUCACUGGAAAGAACUAUUAGUCAUAUGCAAUAGUGGAAUAGUUUCUCAAGAAAAAUAAUGCCAAUAGAAUUAUCUGAAGUCUGAAAAACUGGACAUCACUGGAAGAGGGAUAGACUAGAUGAAACCUCUUCCCCCUUCCUCUGACCUGCCCAACCCAGAUUUUCCAGAUGCUGAAUGGUAGCCAGGUUGGACAAAGUCCUGCUGAAUUGCAUUGCAGCAGGAUGGAGUCUUGUGGUGCUUUGUGGAGAAAACCCUCUAGAUAAUAUGAUUAUGGAGAGUCUAUUUUCUAAUGUCGUUUUUUUUGAAUGAUGGGAAAUGACACAGACACUUGUCGUAUGACAGCAAGUUGUGCUCUGCAUACACCCUCUGUUUUCACAGAGAAAACUCGAGACAUUGCAUCUCACCCUUCGUCAGACUUUUUGCUCCUCUUCAUGUCUACUCCUAUGAUUGCUAUUCCACUGUGGGGAUUGGGAAUAACCAUGUCGAGGCAUUCAUCUUAUUCUCUUAGAGACUUCUGGAGUGGACUCAGUGGUAGAAUUUGCGGCUGCUGAAUUGGAAUUAAUUUGCAAACUGGAUACA